CAGCUUAAAUCCAGCCAAACUGGAGAUGGACUCUCGUGUUGAUUGGAGGAGUGUUUGCCUACUAUACAUGAAGCCCCGAGUUUGAGCCCAAUACUUCAUGCACAUGGAGGCAGGAGGAUCAGAAGUUCAAGGAGCAAGCCACCACGCCCAACUUACCUCAUCCAUGAGAAGGGAGUAGUAACUCUAGAAUCUGCUGUGUAAGGCUGCCGUGAGAAGCUCAUCAGCUUGCAGGAAGCCUCAGUAAAUGGACUCUGUGUGUA
Meriones unguiculatus (Mongolian gerbil) is the source of this 260-nucleotide long non-coding RNA. RefSeq lists it as uncharacterized. NCBI's taxonomy places the organism in Eukaryota, Metazoa, Chordata, Mammalia, Rodentia, Muridae. The record is from RefSeq and is a predicted model, not a curated record. The transcript has 2 exons.